UACAGAGGGUGCGAGCGUUGUUCGGAAUUAUUGGGCGUAAAGGGCGCGUAGGCGGCGCCACAAGUCACUUGUGAAAACUCUGGGCUCAACUCAGAGCCUGCAAGCGAAACUGUGGUGCUGGAGUAUGGGAGAGGUGCGUGGAAUUCCCGGUGUAGCGGUGAAAUGCGUAGAUAUCGAGAGGAACACCGGCGGCGAAGGCGAGUCCCUGGUCCGCAUCUGACGCUGAGGCGCGAAAGCGUGGGUAGCAAACAGG
RNAcentral lists this ribosomal RNA (253 nucleotides) under uncultured prokaryote. Its description in RNAcentral is "partial 16S ribosomal RNA". It matches the Rfam family "Bacterial small subunit ribosomal RNA", at positions 524 to 776 of the family's 1533-position model. The record is from RNAcentral.